AGCGUAGACGGAAUGGCAAGUCUGAUGUGAAAGGCCGGGGCUCAACCCCGGGACUGCAUUGGAAACUGUCAAUCUAGAGUACCGGAGGGGUAAGUGGAAUUCCUAGCGUAGCGGUGAAAUGCGUAGAUAUUAGGAGGAACACCAGUGGCGAAGGCGGCUUACUGGACGGUAACUGACGUUGAGGCUCGAAAGCGUGGGGAGCAAACAAG
This 209-nucleotide ribosomal RNA is filed under the name uncultured bacterium. RNAcentral describes it as "partial 16S ribosomal RNA". It matches the Rfam family "Bacterial small subunit ribosomal RNA", at positions 568 to 776 of the family's 1533-position model. The record is from RNAcentral.